This 1140-nucleotide long non-coding RNA is filed under the name Trifolium pratense (red clover). RNAcentral's name for it is "long non-coding RNA (TPRA_LNC009713)". The record is from RNAcentral. Lineage: Eukaryota; Viridiplantae; Streptophyta; Magnoliopsida; Fabales; Fabaceae.
GCUAAGCAUAUAUUAACCAAAAUAUAUUUGUUACCUAUCUUCCUAAAGAUGAUAGAUCCUAAGUAAUAGAUUAAGAGAAUCUAGAAUAACCAUUCUGUUGAUCAUCUUGUCAUAUGGAUGAGGGAUUCUUUCAUAAACCUUCAAUCAAACAACAUACUAAAAACCAUAAAAUUAACAACAAACUAACAAUAAAAUUAACAGCUAAAAUGGUUAUCAAUCAAUACAAAAGAAAACAUAAACACCCUUAAAGAGCUAAUAAGGCAAACAAUUAUCCAAAAAACCAGCAAACUACUAACCAAAAACCAUUGAACCAGCAACCAAAAUCCAGAAAGAUAACCUGCAUAUCAAUAUUAUAGUAAAAUAUUUAAACAAUAAUUUAUAAAAUUAAAAUGCAUACCUUGUGAAGCCCUUUGAGCAUUCCUUUAUGAAGAUAACCUGCAUAUCAAUAUCAAUUGACAAAAGAAAAUGCAGACAGAACAUAAAUUAAUGUUAAAAACAAAUAUUGGAUGCAUAUAAAUGGUGAAACCCAAUCAAAAUUCAAAAUCCGAAAAUCAAAAUAAAUUUACAGUCCCAAAUGGACCUAGAAAUCAUCCAACAACCCCUUCAUCAAUCACUUAAAUACAAAAUAAAAAAUGAAAUAAAACUGAGCUAGGAGACAUAGAGUAGAGAAAGAGAAGUACCGUCAAAUUCCAACAACAACUCGAGCUUAAAUAUAUCAUCNNNNNNNNNAAGAAAAUUAGGGAUUUCAAAAAUGAACAUACCUUAGAGGGAGGAGCUCAGUUUCAAUAUACAUGGAUUUCUUGGAGUUCAUCAAAUGAAGAAGUGUGUGUCUAUGGUGUUUAGAGAGAGAGAGAGAUAUGAGAGUUUGAAAUUUGAAAGUUGAGAAUCUGUUUUCAAUAUCCAUGGGUUGAGGUUUUGUUUGACUUGGGCUGGUGACAGUCAGAUUUUUGGGAAUGAAAGUGACGGGACACUGUUCCUUUGCUUGCUGUCUGACCAGGUUUUGUCCAUAUCCAAUUUAAGUUUCUUUGUUCAUCAAAAUAGGAUCCAAGUAUAACAAAAGAAGAGGGAAAUUCAAACUUUUGAAUUUUACUUCCAACUCAAGCAACCAAGUUGGACCACUAAGUUAAAAAGGGUAAAAAU